Felis catus (domestic cat) is the source of this 4704-nucleotide long non-coding RNA. RefSeq lists it as uncharacterized. NCBI's taxonomy places the organism in Eukaryota, Metazoa, Chordata, Mammalia, Carnivora, Felidae. The record is from RefSeq and is a predicted model, not a curated record. The transcript is spliced from 4 exons.
AUCUCACUCACCAUCAGAACACAGAACACAGAAACAGAAAGAAGCAAACAAUGGCUCUCAGAAGCAACACAGAUUCCACAAAUAUCUAUAUGUACAUUUGAGCAUUUACCUUUUAGAAGAGUCCCUUUGAAGGUCCCCUGUAGAGCCAAUUUGGCUUGGAUUUCAUGGCAGUGGUAAGAAUAGAAAUAGACAAGGGACUGUCAUAGUUGAAUAUGCUGCCCAGUGAAAGUGACAGAUCAUGGCCUGAGAUAAGAGCUGUAUAAACCAAACCAAGCACAAGAAUCUCAGAGCACAACAGUUGAGAGCUUUUAAUCUGGGAACACAUCUACAUAACCCCAAUAAGUUGUGAAGACCCUGUUUUCUCACAUCAGAUUUUUAACAGACUCUUUUUUGCAAGGCUGGACUGGAAAGGCAGGUAGGCAAGCUAUUCAAAAUGCACUGGGCACUGUGCAUACUACUGCACCAUCUGUUGGGGGAAAAUGAAGAGGAACAGAUACAUUGCCCUACACCUUGAUAAGCACCUGCAACACGUGCAUGUGCGGGCUGCUGGAGGAGUGCACUGGAGGAGCUUUCAUUCUUACCACUGUGUGGGUGGGCGAGGAAGAACAGGUGUGAGCAUUUGCCAACAGAGGCACCCAUAGAGCCCCCAGGUGUUCAUGCUCCUGCUUAAUGUCAGGGCCAAGGAGAGGCCUUUUGGGAUUUUCUUUUGCCUAACAUCUUGGAAAAGAAUCUUCAUCUUCAAAGUAGAGAUCCUAAUAUCUGCCCUGACUACAUCUCAAAGUUUUUAACAAGAUCCAGCGAGAUCCAGCAUAUGCUACUAUGAAAACUGAAAAAUGCUCAACCAACACCAGGCAAGACAUCAAUUUAUAUACAUCUUCCCUUGCAUAUAAGCUUUUAUGCAUAUUUUUUACUUAAGAAUUUUUUUUAUUAAACUAAAUAUUGUUUCUAGCAAGAAAAGCCUUUCAAGUAAGGUUGAUAUUAUUAUUCCUUACAAGUUUCAUCUUGAUUCAUAAACAUUUUAUGCCAAGAAUAAUGCUGUUUUAAAGACAAUAAGUGCCUGGUUUUGCCUGGGGCCACUGGAAGCCCUGCAAAAGAGGCAGGAGGAAUUAAAGGCCCUUAAUCAUAUUUCCCCAUUUUUAACUGUUAGUUUUUACACUCUUGAGCCAUUUCUCUCCUCUUGCUGGGCCCUACCGAGGCCCAUAAAUCUUAAUUAAAGAUGCAAUUUUUUUUCUUAUGAAAUCUGAACUGCAAGAAACCAUUCUUAUUUUUUAUUUUUAAGACUAGCUCCAUGUGUCGGCUCAUAAAACAAGUAAGACUUUUGCACUCAAAGGAUUUUGAAAGCUGUUAUUGCUGCUGUCAUGUGGCACUGGUCCCGUAAUUACUAUUAUUGUUAUUUUAUUUUAUUUUUUUACACAUGAGCUUCUGCUUUUCUUGCAUAGAGCAUGAUGUAAAAAAAUAACUUACAACAGGCUGCUUUUGUUUUAGGAAGCAGGGGUUAUGGUUCAUAAAACAGGAAAGAAACAUGAAUCCACAUUUCCAAUGAGGAAAAGAACUCUCUCUGAAUGCUACUGGGUAUAGAUACUUCCUGGUGGGGUUCCCAUCAAGGAACCAUUAUUUAAAGGGAAUAUUCUCUUGAUCAGAAUCUGAUAGGUAAGAUAAACAGGAUAUCUGCAACUGCAUUUCUUAUUCCCUUAGAUUAGGGAAAUGGGCUUAACAUCUUUAGACAUCUAGAACUAAUAUACUGAUGAUGGACCCCAAAGGAGUUUAAUCACAGAUAGCAGAGGUAGUCUGAAAAGACCUAAAUCUACUUUAGAUGAUGACAUUUCUAAAGAAUAAAAAUGAUUCUGAUAACAUCAUAAAAACACCUAAUGAGGCAUGAGGCAGUGCCAGGCACUAUGACCAGAGAUCAGACUAAUUAUCUAUCAACUUGUCUGUCUUCUGCCAUUCCUUCAGAACAUCAAUGGUAUCCCCUUGUCCACAAGAUUACAUUAAAGCUUUCAAGACCACUAACGUGGCCUCAACUUAUCUUUUGAACCACAUCUCGAACUGUCAUACCUCACUAACAGUACUUCUAUUUAUACAGAGAAAGCAAAGACAGUACUUUUCAAGACCUAUUCUUCUGUGACUCUGUGGCUUUGCAUGUGUUGAGAAGUAUGGUGGGAAAGGAGAAAAUGCACAAUGGAUAGGGUAGAUUUUGAAAUUAGGAGGUUUUAAACUUGAGGGCCAAGUGAACUAUAGUAAACUAUAGGCAAAUUGCUUAGCCUCUCUGAGACUCUUUUUCCUCAUCUGUAAAAUGGAGGUAAUAAUUACUUUCUGGUGGUGGUGUGCAGUUUAUAGGAGAGGCAUACUAUGCACCUAGCACAGUAUCUGUACCCAAAGAAGUGCUUCACCAAAUAGAUGCUUUCUGUACUUCCUUAUGCUUGGAGUUCAAUGGCCCUAUGAGUUUCUACUCAUCUCCUAAGACUGCCAAAUUAUACCCCAUUUACAAAGCCUUUUAUAAGAUCCCCCAGGCACAUUUGGGUGAAUUGGGAUGAAUAAUCUGGCAAUGAAUGCAAGAUUUUUGGGAGGAAGGAGGGACCUAGAAUAAGCAGGCCAGCCAAAAUCUUUCACUUCUUGUUGCCAAAGUACAUUUUUUUUCCACAGAAGGGGCUUCCUGGCCGCUUGCCUGGUUGUGUCUCCUCAGGCAACUCAAAUUUCUUUGAAGAUUUGCUCACCUUCAUCUCUUUCUCCCACACUCCUCACCCUACUCCCUCUACCAAAUCUAUCCAUCUCAUCUAAGCUUCCUUUCCAUGCUUUAAUCGACUGUUUGGCAAGUCUUUCAACCUCUGGUUCACACUUUGACAAAUUAACCCUUGUACCACCUUAGAUUUCCCAUGCCAUUUUUGUUUCUUUAUUGGAUUUUGUGUGAUUUUGUUCUUUGACAUUAUUGGGCCAAAGACCACAAGGCUCCUUUGCAUCAUAGACUCAUAAGAUUGUAAAGAUCAGUCUACUACAUCUUCAUCAUCUUUAUUCUGUACAUGAAGAAUAGGAAUCUCAGAAAGACUUUAUUGAGUCAAUGCCUAGAUGUGAUUAAGCUUCUGACCCACCCAUGUCUCCCUCAUCCUGUCCAGUGUUCAUCUGCCGUACCACACUGACUCCUCUGAUCAUAUGGCACCUUGAAAUCUCACAGAUAUCCAGCUGGGAAUUAGAAUGAGAAAAUAAUGUGCUAUAGCUGUGUGGGGUCCAGCCCAAAGCCAAAGGAUUCCUUUCAUAUAAUGAUAAGCCACAGGGUCUUUUAAUCAAACAAGUAAAGUGAUGUAUGCCAAGGGCACCCAUAACUAGGUGGAUGGAAGGAGGUGAAUAUUUUGAGAUAUGUUGCCCUUGGAGAGAUCUGCAGAUGUAGCAAGUUGUCUUAUGGAGUUGGGGCAGGACAGAAUUCAGAGAAAUACUGGAACUUCCUAGCAGACUGUCUCACCUCACUGAAUUUACUACCCAACAUGGUUUCUCAACUUUACAUCUUUGGAGUUACAGAUGAAUACUGAUUGUGGUUUUUUUUUGAGAUUAAUCUUCAAAGGGGCUAUGACAGUGUGACUGGGGCUUCCUGGAAAUAAUAAAAGGAGGAGAAAAGAAUAAAUAUUUAUUAAGCACUUAUACAAGUCCUGGUAAUUUCACAUACCUUAAUGAAGUUGCAAGAAAUUUUCCUAUUGUAUAGAUGAGGAAACUGAGAUUUAGGAGUGGUGGCUUAUUUGACCAGGUUACUCAGGAAGUUGAAGCCAGACUCAAAUUUUAACUCAUUUGACUUAAAGAAGACGAGGAGUGUAAAGACCUCUACUGAAAUUCUGUAGAACUGAUUUCUAGACUCCAAGUUUCUGUUUAUGCUGAUUUCACCAAGCCUUGUGACUCCUGCCUGUUGUUCUUUUCUUUCAUUUUAAAACCUGGUGUUAAUCCUGUUUUACUUUCUUAUAGGGAUAUUGGAAAGUCCAGGCAAAACAAUGGAUUUGACAGCCUUUGAAAAUUACGAAGUGUUGUGCAAAUACAAGUCAUUAGUAUCAUUGCAUUACAAAGUAAAUAUUGAGUAGAGGAAGAAAACCUAAGGAGUGUACAAAUUUCUACAUUGUUUUCCAAAUUAUUAUGGAAGCAAACCAAAACCCAGAAGGUCUCUUGCAAAGUAUUCUAUUCCUCUAGAUUCCUUUAAUCUAUGCAGAUUAAGUACAUACCCCAAUGCCAUUAACUGUUUCAACUAUGAAUUAGAAGGACAUUGCUAAAUCCAAAGCUCUAUUACUUAUCUUAGUAUUCAAAAUAAUCUGACCUCUUAAUAUUCUAUACUUAAUGAUUUGUGUGAGUUGAAUGAAAUUCUAACAUUUUUCUGAUAAUUGCUUUAUGUAUAUUUUUAUAUUACAUUAAUAGUGACUGACAUCAAAUCUUUUCUUUCAGACAUUGAAAAAUAAAACUAACAGCAUCAGUAGUGUCAAUCUGGCAACUGAUCAUUUAUGAGUUAAAAUCCCAUAAUGUUGUAGAUAAAGGUAAUAAUUUUCUGUUCAUGAAGAUGGAAAUAAACAACACACUCAACAACAAAUAAACUUGGGAGAAAAACUUUCCAUUCUAAAAAAAAUUUUUAACGUUUAUUUAUUUUUUGAGAGACAGAGCAUGAGCUGGGAAAGGAACAGAGAGAGAAGGGAAGUCACAGAUUCUGAAGCAGGCUCCAGGCUCUGAGCUGUCAGCACA